RNAcentral lists this ribosomal RNA (492 nucleotides) under uncultured bacterium. RNAcentral describes it as "partial 16S ribosomal RNA". It matches the Rfam family "Bacterial small subunit ribosomal RNA", at positions 29 to 507 of the family's 1533-position model. The record is from RNAcentral.
AGUGAACGCUGGCGGUAGGCCUAACACAUGCAAGUCGAACGGUAACACGAUGCGGCUUUCUGCUUCGCUGAGGCGUGUCGGACGGGGGUGUAAUGUCCGUGAAGCUGUCUGUUUUCGUGGGAGAACUACUGGAAACGGUAGCGAAUACCGCAUAAUCUCGCUACACCAAAGAGGGGGAGCUUCUGGCACCUUGCCAUCGUGUAUGAGCAGAUGUGGGAUUAGCUAGUUGGGGGGGUAACGGCCCACCAAGGCGACGAUCCGUAGCUGGUCUGAGAGGAUGAUCAGCCACACUGGAACUGAGACACGGUCCAGACUCCUACGGGAGGCAGCAGUGGGGAAUAUUGGACAAAGGGCGCAAGCCUGAUCCAGCCAUGCCGCGUGGAUGAAGAAGGCCUUCGGGUUGUAAAGUACUUUUGGUGGGGAAGAAGAGAAGAAAGUUAAUACCUUGCCGUACUGACGUUACCCAAAGAAUAAGCACCGGCUAACUUCGUG